Molecule: ribosomal RNA, 775 nt
Filed under: uncultured bacterium
Lineage: Bacteria
Description: bacterial SSU rRNA
Rfam family: Bacterial small subunit ribosomal RNA
Source: RNAcentral
AUGCAGUCGAACGGAAACGACGAGAACAAUCCCUUCGGGGUGCGUCCUCGGGCGUCGAGUGGCGGACGGGUGCGUAACGCGUAGGAAUCUACCUUAUAGUGGGGGACAACUCGGGGAAACUCGAGCUAAUACCGCAUAAGCCUUACGAGGGAAAGCAGGGGAUCUUCGGACCUUGCGCUAUUAGAUGAGCCUGCGUCGGAUUAGCUAGUUGGUAGGGUAAUGGCCUACCAAGGCAACGAUCCGUAGCUGGUCUGAGAGGAUGAUCAGCCACACUGGGGCUGAGACACGGCCCAGACUCCUACGGGAGGCAGCAGUGGGGAAUAUUGGACAAUGGGCGCAAGCCUGAUCCAGCAAUGUCGCGUGUGUGAAGAAGGCCUUAGGGUUGUAAAGCACUUUCAGUAGGGAAGAAAUGCGUGCAGUUAAUAACUGUGCGUCUUGACGGUACCUACAGAAGAAGCACCGGCUAACUCCGUGCCAGCAGCCGCGGUAAUACGGAGGGUGCAAGCGUUAAUCGGAAUUACUGGGCGUAAAGCGCGCGUAGGCGGCUAUAUAAGUCUGAUGUGAAAGCCCUGGGCUCAACCUGGGAACUGCGUUUGAAACUGCAAGGCUAGAGUGUGGCAGAGGGGGGUGGAAUUCCGCGUGUAGCAGUGAAAUGCGUAGAGAUGUGGAGGAACACCGAUGGCGAAGGCAGCCCCCUGGGUCAACACUGACGCUCAGGCACGAAAGCAUGGGGAGCAAACAGGAUUAGAUACCCUGGUAGUCCAUGCCCUAAACG